CUUAUACACCGGGGAUGAACAACUUUUGUCACGUGACCGCAAAAGUCAACGCCGGUUGCAGAAACAGAUUGUAAUCUUGUACAUUAAGAAACAUGACGCUCGUGUGUGAAAUCUGUGGAAAGACAUUUAAAUCGAAGUGGGGGUUAAAGCUUCAUGAUAAGCGCCACAGAGGGACUGGACGAUUCGCCUGUUGUGGAAAAACAUUUUACACAAAACAGGCGUUCAACAGACACAGAUGCAGCAUUCAUGGUGUUGAAAAGCCGUUCCCCUGUGAACAAUGCGGCAAAAAGUUUUCAACCAAAGAUGACCUGAAUCGUCACGUCCGGAGGGAGGUUGCUGCAAAGCAAUUUACCUGCUCAAUUUGCAAUGCAACGCUCCGGGAGAAAAUUGACCUUCAGGCCCACCUUGCCACCCACAAUGGAGAGAAAAACUUUGCUUGUGAUAUGUGUGAAAAGAGGUACAGGCACCGCAGUAGUCUAUCAAAGCACAGAUCUGCAAAGCACCGGGCCUAGUCAUCUGUUGCAUGACGAUGAUAAGACCAAGAAUUAUUUUUAAUUCUUACCAAUGUGCCGUGGUUAUUUUCUUAAUUAUUGAAAAUACAGACUGUCAUACAAUAAUAUAUAGUAUUACGCGUGUUUUUGCGUCUUAAACAUUGUGUUUCAUAUCGUUUAUCUUGUGUUGUUUUGUUUGAUAUUCCUGUUUUUAAUAAGAUUAUUGUUGUAAUAUUUAUCAUUCUAAUUUAAAAUGAUUAUGAUAAUGGUUGAUCUCAUACAAAUUAUUGUGUUCAUUAUUGCUCAUCUGUGAUUACUGUUGAUCUCAGCCCAUGAAUUGUGAUUUAUAUUGAUUAUCUGUGAUUAUUGUUGAUCUUAUCAAAAUAAUUGUAAUUUAUGUUGAUUAUCUUUGAAUUUUUUAUCUUAACCUAUUAAUAGUGAUUUAUAUUAUCUGUGAUUAUUGUUGAUCUUAUCAAAAUCAUUGUGAUUUAUGUUGAUUAUCUGUGAUUAUUGUUGAUCUCAACCGAUUAAUUGUGAUUUAUAUAACCAGUGAUUAUUGUUGAUCUUUUCGAAAUCAUUGUAAUUUAUGUUGAUUAUCUGUGAUUAUUGUUGAUCUUUUCAAAAUCAUUGUAAUUUAUGUUGAUUAUCUGUGAUUAUUGUUGAUCUCACCAUAUCCGCUGGAAUAUACAUUUGAGCCGCGCUCUGUGAAAAGGGGGUUUAAUGCAUGUGCGUAAAGUGCAGUCCACAUAGGCUAAUCAGGGACGGCACUUUCCGCUUUUAUGAUAUGUUUUGUUAAAAGAAAGUCUCUUCUGAGCAAAAAUCGAGUUUAUCGGAAAGGUUUGUCCCUAAUUAGCCUGUACGGAAUGCACAGGCUAAUAUGUGACGACACCUUACGCACAUGCAUUAAACCCCCUUUUCACAGAGCGAGACUCAUUUGUAAUCUGCGAUUUUUGUUUAUCUAUUUCGAAUCAAUAUGAUUAAAAUAUAUUUUUGGUGAGUUAGCUUUUUGUCUCAUUGGAAUCAUUGUGCGAAUUGUCAACAAUUACAUGUAAAUCUGUAAUUCCUUCUCAAGUUGCACAUAGGCCAGUUUAAUGUUUUGCGUAUAAGCUAUUAUUGCGAUACGGGAUAUUCUUUGCAGCAAUAAAACAAUUAAUCUGCA
Dreissena polymorpha is the source of this 1650-nucleotide long non-coding RNA. RefSeq lists it as uncharacterized. Lineage: Eukaryota; Metazoa; Mollusca; Bivalvia; Myida; Dreissenidae. The record is from RefSeq and is a predicted model, not a curated record. The transcript is spliced from 3 exons.